Molecule: unclassified non-coding RNA, 368 nt
Filed under: plant metagenome
Description: partial contains 5.8S ribosomal RNA, internal transcribed spacer 2, and large subunit ribosomal RNA
Rfam family: 5.8S ribosomal RNA (bases 1-105)
Source: RNAcentral
GAAAUGCGAUAAGUAAUGUGAAUUGCAGAAUUCAGUGAAUCAUCGAAUCUUUGAACGCACAUUGCGCCCGCCAGUAUUCUGGCGGGCAUGCCUGUUUGAGGGUCGCCAAAUAAACAUCGAUUAACGUUGCUUUUUGAAGUGAAUGUUUAUCGGAUUUGAGCUUUCUUUAUCCUUAUAAAGUGGCUUAAAAUUUAUUUUUUGGUAUCAUCGAAAGCGUAUUUUACGAUCAAUUUUUGAUUAAAAAGGACGUUUCGAAUACCAUCCUUCAAUGUAAUACGUUUGACUAUACGUAAAAAAUAUAGUUCAUUCGUAUACGAUUAAUUUUUUUUUGACCUCAAAUCAGGUAAGAGUACCCGCUGAACUUAAGC